UGGGGAAUUUUGGACAAUGGGCGCAAGCCUGAUCCAGCCAUGCCGCGUGUCUGAAGAAGGCCUUCGGGUUGUAAAGGACUUUUGUCAGGGAAGAAAAGGACAGGGUUAAUACCUCUGUUUGAUGACGGUACCUGAAGAAUAAGCACCGGCUAACUACGUGCCAGCAGCCGCGGUAAUACGUAGGGUGCGAGCGUUAAUCGGAAUUACUGGGCGUAAAGCGAGCGCAGACGGUUACUUAAGCAGGAUGUGAAAUCCCCGGGCUCAACCUGGGAACUGCGUUCUGAACUGGGUGACUAGAGUGUGUCAGAGGGAGGUAGAAUUCCACGUGUAGCAGUGAAAUGCGUAGAGAUGUGGAGGAAUACCGAUGGCGAAGGCAGCCUCCUGGGAUAACACUGACGUUCAUGCUCGAAAGCGUGGGUAGCAAACAGGAUUAGAUACCCUGGUAGUCCACGCCCUAAACGAUGUCAAUUAGCUGUUGGGCAACUUGAUUGCUUAGUAGCGUAGCUACGCGUGAAAUUGACCGCCUGGGGAGUACGGUCGCAGAUUA
This 547-nucleotide ribosomal RNA is filed under the name uncultured bacterium. RNAcentral describes it as "bacterial SSU rRNA". It matches the Rfam family "Bacterial small subunit ribosomal RNA", at positions 355 to 896 of the family's 1533-position model. The record is from RNAcentral.